AAGAAGGAGGAGGAGAGUUCGGAGGCACAAUGAUGACGAGAUGCUGGCACAACGGUGAUGCGUUCGUUGUGUAGUGGAGGCGCGUCAGUGGUUUGACAGAGAUGCAACGGUAUCAUGGUGGGGGUGGUUGAGGAGAAAGAUAAAAGGAAGAAGAGAAAAGAAAGAAUGAGAGAAUGAGGUGGAAAAUCAGAAGGAAGAGAAGGAGAUGGUGUAAGCAAUUCUUUAAUUUUUCAAUUGAAUGAAAAUUAACUCAACAGGAUCUUGAAUUUUCAUGAUACUCACAAUUCCCACAUACACAGUAAAGNUGUAAGCAAUUCUUUAAUUUUUCAAUUGAAUGAAAAUUAACUCAACAGGAUCUUGAAUUUUCAUGAUACUCACAAUUCCCACAUACACAGUAAAGGAGAACUAACNUGGAUCCAUUGUGCACUUCNUCCUGUCAAAAGUUCUCUCUCCUCUUACUCCUCUUUAAUGCCUUCUUGAUGAUAUAGAAGUUGCCAAGGAAAGUUUUCUCUGUCAAAGUCACAGUUUCUAUGUCUUUCCUGAGAACGAUACG
This 553-nucleotide long non-coding RNA is filed under the name Vigna radiata. RNAcentral's name for it is "long non-coding RNA (VRAD_LNC003468)". The record is from RNAcentral. Lineage: Eukaryota; Viridiplantae; Streptophyta; Magnoliopsida; Fabales; Fabaceae.